CAUCUUUAUCCUAGCUGCGUCGUCUACACUGCGCUUGCAUGCUUGUCGUGGGUGCUUGUCCUUUCAGUGAGUGGCGGACGGGUGAGUAACUCGUGGACAACCGGCCUCGCGGCUGGGGAUAUCAUUUGGAAACAGAUGCUAUUACCGAAUAAAACUUAGUGUCGCAUGACACAAAGUUAAAAGGCGCUUUGGCGUCACCUAGAGAUGGAUCCGCGGUGCAUUAGUUAGUUGGUGGGGUAAAGGCCUACCAAGACAAUGAUGCAUAGCCGAGUUGAGAGACUGAUCGGCCACAUUGGGACUGAGACACGGCCCAAACUCCUACGGGAGGCUGCAGUAGGGAAUCUUCCACAAUGGGCGAAAGCCUGAUGGAGCAACGCCGCGUGUGUGAUGAAGGCUUUCGGGUCGUAAAGCACUGUUGUAUGGGAAGAACAGCUAGAAUAGGGAAUGAUUUUAGUUUGACGGUACCAUACCAGAAAGGGACGGCUAAAUACGUGCCAGCAGCCGCGGUAAUACGUAUGUCCCGAGCGUUAUCCGGAUUUAUUGGGCGUAAAGCGAGCGCAGACGGUUGAUUAAGUCUGAUGUGAAAGCCCGGAGCUCAACUCCGGAAUGGCAUUGGAAACUGGUUAACUUGAGUGCAGUAGAGGUAAGUGGAACUCCAUGUGUAGCGGUGGAAUGCGUAGAUAUAUGGAAGAACACCAGUGGCGAAGGCGGCUUACUGGACUGUAACUGACGUUGAGGCUCGAAAGUGUGGGUAGCAAACAGGAUUAGAUACCCUGGUAGUCCACACCGUAAACGAUGAACACUAGGUGUUAGGAGGUUUCCGCCUCUUAGUGCCGAAGCUAACGCAUUAAGUGUUCCGCCUGGGGAGUACGACCGCAAGGUUGAAACUCAAAGGAAUUGACGGGGACCCGCACAAGCGGUGGAGCAUGUGGUUUAAUUCGAAGCAACGCGAAGAACCUUACCAGGUCUUGACAUCCUUUGAAGCUUUUAGAGAUAGAAGUGUUCUCUUCGGAGACAAAGUGACAGGUGGUGCAUGGUCGUCGUCAGCUCGUGUCGUGAGAUGUUGGGUUAAGUCCCGCAACGAGCGCAACCCUUAUUGUUAGUUGCCAGCAUUCAGAUGGGCACUCUAGCGAGACUGCCGGUGACAAACCGGAGGAAGGCGGGGACGACGUCAGAUCAUCAUGCCCCUUAUGACCUGGGCUACACACGUGCUACAAUGGCGUAUACAACGAGUUGCCAACCCGCGAGGGUGAGCUAAUCUCUUAAAGUACGUCUCAGUUCGGAUUGUAGUCUGCAACUCGACUACAUGAAGUCGGAAUCGCUAGUAAUCGCGGAUCAGCACGCCGCGGUGAAUACGUUCCCGGGUCUUGUACACACCGCCCGUCACACCAUGGGAGUUUGUAAUGCCCAAAGCCGGUGGCCUAACCUUUAGGAAGGAGCCGUCCAUAGAAAGAGG
RNAcentral lists this ribosomal RNA (1456 nucleotides) under Leuconostoc pseudomesenteroides. RNAcentral's name for it is "bacterial SSU rRNA". It matches the Rfam family "Bacterial small subunit ribosomal RNA". The record is from RNAcentral. Lineage: Bacteria; Bacillati; Bacillota; Bacilli; Lactobacillales; Lactobacillaceae.